AAAGCGUGCGCAGGCGGUUAUGUAAGACAGAUGUGAAAUCCCCGGGCUCAACCUGGGAACUGCAUUUGUGACUGCAUGGCUAGAGUACGGUAGAGGGGGAUGGAAUUCCGCGUGUAGCAGUGAAAUGCGUAGAUAUGCGGAGGAACACCGAUGGCGAAGGCAAUCCCCUGGACCUGUACUGACGCUCAUGCACGAAAGCGUGGGGAGCAAACAGGAUAAGAUACCCUUGU
RNAcentral lists this ribosomal RNA (230 nucleotides) under uncultured bacterium. RNAcentral describes it as "partial 16S ribosomal RNA". It matches the Rfam family "Bacterial small subunit ribosomal RNA", at positions 562 to 791 of the family's 1533-position model. The record is from RNAcentral.